Micropterus dolomieu (smallmouth bass) is the source of this 1495-nucleotide long non-coding RNA. RefSeq lists it as uncharacterized. Lineage: Eukaryota; Metazoa; Chordata; Actinopteri; Centrarchiformes; Centrarchidae. The transcript is spliced from 3 exons. The record is from RefSeq and is a predicted model, not a curated record.
UGCAAUCCGCCAUUAACUAAGAAGAAGAAGAGUACUUGUUACAUCCAGAAGGUGGCAGUGGCGCAGCGCCAGCUGCCGUUAAACCGAAAGAAGGAGAAGAAGAUUUCAGCCAGCACAUGUGCGUUGUCACUUGACUGCUUCUUCUGAGUUAAUUUUGGCGGACAAGUUGCUGGUGGUCUUCGUUUUAGGAAGUUGUAAGAGGUGGAAAUUCUGAGGAUUUCUACUGUUCCACUGUCUCAAAGUUCGUAGACAAACAGACUUCCAAUCUCCUCAGUGUGUUGAAGAAGAAAGGAGGCUCUGCAGGAAGGGAACUUCGCAUACUUUUGGCCCAAAGCAACUGUUGAAAAGAGGAGGGAGAUCAUCCUCAGGGCAAUUGGUUUCUACCUGAUGAAGACCCAAACAUCCUCUUCAAAGAAAACCCGGUUGGUAAUUUCAGUAGUUACUACCUGCAUUAAACCAAAAGGCUACAGUUGUGGUCAAAAGUUUACAUACACUUGUAAACAACAUGUAUUUCAUGGCAUUUAAAACCAACUGCCAUGAAAUACAUGAAAAUGAAUUGUGAUUUUGCCUGAAAUAAAGAAACAAAACAGACAGCUUGUUAUGUCCCCUCCUUGUCUAGGAGUGGGGGACUAACAAAGAGAUAAAUAAACCGGGUGGAAAAACAAAGGAUGACCCAAAACGUGUCAAGUUAAUGUAAUUAUUCUAAGUUAGUAACAAAAAAGGUGUUAACAACUGAAGGCGAUCUCUGCUCACAUUAGAGACGAUAUGGCGUUUGUUAUGUAAAGUAAAUUAAUUAAGAUAUUCAGCGGAAAAUAUGCAACACAAUACAGAGUCUCUACGGCUCCCACCGCGCUGGUGAGGCAUAUGUGGUGAUCGACGCUCCUCACCACACCGGCUUCUAGCUGGUCGUGAACACGGGGCCGAUGGCUGCCUCCGCAGAGUCACCAGACGCACAGCGAUCGGCAUCCAGCAGAUCACGUCUCGCUACGGACCACACAAUAAACCACACAGUAAGCCAACCACACUGUAAGCCACACAAUAAGUCACACAGUCUAACGCGAGCAACCACGGAAGAGUGAGCCUGAGAGCUCUUCACUGGCUCAGCUUAUGUGCCCCACUGAUUGCCGCUGAUCAGCUCCAGCUGCGGGAUUUACGCAGCGCCAGGCUCAGGGCUCAGGUACACAGCUUCAGAAAAGAGACAAGCACAACCGACAGUACUCACGGGUCGUAACACAGCUGUUUGAAUAACGGCUGCUACUAAACUUUCACAUGAUCAACAAAAUCAAUAUGCAACUAACGUUAAUGAUUUUCGCCCGCACACUGUGCAGCACGGUGACACAUAGCUAGCGUCUUCUCCUCCUCCUUCACAGGACAGCUAUGUGACAGGUGGCAGUAGGUGACGGUGAAAAUGAGCAGAGGAAAAUAUGAGUGCUACAUUUUAGUCUGGCUGUAAAUGUACAGUGUAGGUUACAGUUUGUCCGUUAAUUAAAGUCUG